AAGCUGAAAUCCAAGAUUUCAUUCAAUGUGUUCAAGUGGCUGAACUUUCAGAAUUGCCUUGGAAAGGGACUUUCUUCACAUGGUCUAAUAAGCAAACUGGUUCUGAUAAAGUUUGUAGUAGAUUGGAUAGAAUAUUUAUCAAUUAUGAAUGGAUGAUUAAGUGGAGUCAUGUACAAACUGUAUAUGACCCCCCUUUAAUAUCUGAUCAUAAUCCAAUGGUCCUUACUGUUUUUGAAGAUCACAGGCUCAGGAAAACUCCCUUCAGAUUUUACAAUGCAUGGGCUAACCACAAAGACUUUCAGUGCAUUGUCAAGGAACACUGGAAAAACACUGCUCAAGAUACUCUCAAGGAGGUCUGGAUCAAUCUCAAGGCACUUAUGAAGAUCAUAGGCUCACGAAAACUCCCUUCAGAUUUUACAACGCAUGGGCUAACCACAAAGGCUUUCAGUGCAUUGUCAAGGAACACUGGAAAAACACUGCUCAAGAUACUCUCAAGGAGGUCUGGAUCAAUCUCAAGGCACUCAAACCUUUUCUUAAAUCUCUAAAUGUUAGAGAAUUUAAGAACAUUACACAAAGAAUUGAGGAUAGCAGGGUGGAAUUGGCUGACUUUCAAAAUCAGAUGAGGCUGCAAUAUACGGAUGAGUUACAGACUAAAGAAAGGGAUCUGAUAUUGAAGUUGGAGAAAUGGUCAAUGAUAGAAGAGAGUAUACUGCAACAGAAAUCCAGAGCUAGAUGGAUUCAAUUGGGAGACUCAAAUAAUAAAUAUUUUAAUGCUCUACUGAAAUAUUUUAAUUGGUUACAGCAGGAGGUACCAAAAUUACUAAUCCAGAUGCAAUCAGAGA
This 842-nucleotide long non-coding RNA is filed under the name Nicotiana benthamiana. RNAcentral's name for it is "long non-coding RNA (NBEN_LNC025717)". The record is from RNAcentral. Lineage: Eukaryota; Viridiplantae; Streptophyta; Magnoliopsida; Solanales; Solanaceae.